Molecule: small nuclear RNA, 117 nt
Filed under: Ipomoea nil (Japanese morning glory)
Lineage: Eukaryota; Viridiplantae; Streptophyta; Magnoliopsida; Solanales; Convolvulaceae
Description: U5 spliceosomal RNA
Rfam family: U5 spliceosomal RNA
About the family: U5 RNA is a component of both types of known spliceosome. The precise function of this molecule is unknown, though it is known that the 5' loop is required for splice site selection and p220 binding, and that both the 3' stem-loop and the Sm site are important for Sm protein binding and cap methylation.
Source: Rfam by way of RNAcentral
AGCCACGCAGUGGGCGCAAAGCGAACUAUUCUUUCGCCUUUUACUAAAGAAUACCGUGUGCACGCUGCAAAUAGUGGCAUACGCCAAUUUUUGGAGGGUUCAUCUCUUAGAUGCACC